AUGGUUGAAAUGUGAUAUGCACAUCCUGCAAGUUCAAAUAGGCGGACAUUGUACCACUGAAUCCAUAGUUUUUAUUUGGUAAGAAUGAAAACUCUGAGUUGUGAAUUAAAUAAAAAAUACUUAUAUUUGAAAUGUGAAGUUCCUAAUUCAACAACAAUCAUGAUUAUAAGGUAACUGAUCCAUAGAAACAUAUUUGUGUUAUUCACAUGGCAGCCACCGAAACAAGUAAAUGGCGUUAAGAAAAACAACCUCCACAACUUCUCAAUUUUUUUCCAGUUAACCAUACAAUGAUUCAAAAACUAACCACCAAUUAUAAUAUUUAUGAUCCUAAAAUUCCUUACGCUGCACUGACUAUACAUUGACAACCCACUAUGCAUAUUACGGGACUCCUAAAAGUAUUUUAAUAGUCAAAAUAAUAAAAUAAAGGAAUCAAAAGUACAAAAGCUGCCAUUUCUAAUCGUGGAAUCAACUUUGAACCUCAUUCAAGAGGAGAUUGGAAGAAGAAUCAAAAGAGAAAUAAUGAAAACACAAAAAUCAGUGAGCGCAAGAAGAGGACUAUAAGAGCAUUGAGGAGGAGUCAAUGUGGAAUGUAGUCCGGCAAUGAAAAUCAAAUCUGAAAGGGGGUUAUACAUCAAAAUUUUAAAUUAACAAUUAGUAAAUUUCACCUGUUUUAAACUUUAAAAAAUUACAACAUUUCAAGGGGGUUAUACCUCAAAUUUAGCAGAGAAUCGACCUUCGACGGAUUAAUUAUGAUAUAUUAAAAAGGAAAAAAUAAAAUAUAAACCCUUCAAAAAUAACAAUUGAAAGGAUAUACCUCAAUAUUCAUGUUCAACAGUUCGAAAGAUCCGAGAAUACUCUAUCCCGGUAGACGAUUGCUGCUCCAAGAGUUCAUUCAACAAAAAGCAACAUACAAGUUUAUCCCAAAUUGUGAAUCACAAAAUUGUGUUCAAAGUGUUCAUUCAACAUAAAGCAACAUACAAGUUUAUCCCAAAUUGUGAAUCACAAAAUUGUGUUCAAAGUCUGAUUAGAGAUAAGAAAAAGCAAAAUUCGUAAAAGAAAAUAUGAAGGGUAUGAAAAAGAUUGUAAGAGAUAUCUACUGCUAAUGGUAUACAAUUGCGGCUAGAACUCAUUA
This 1132-nucleotide long non-coding RNA is filed under the name Nicotiana benthamiana. RNAcentral describes it as "long non-coding RNA (NBEN_LNC021794)". Lineage: Eukaryota; Viridiplantae; Streptophyta; Magnoliopsida; Solanales; Solanaceae. The record is from RNAcentral.